Molecule: unclassified non-coding RNA, 337 nt
Filed under: fungal sp.
Lineage: Eukaryota; Fungi
Description: partial internal transcribed spacer region
Rfam family: Eukaryotic small subunit ribosomal RNA (bases 1-46)
Source: RNAcentral
AAGUCGUAACAAGGUCUCCGUAGGUGAACCUGCGGAGGGAUCAUUAACACGUAAUCUCACGAUUACAAACCAAACAAAACACGUGCUCUAAAACCAUUGUUGUUCAAGGAUCGAGGUAUGUUCGAGAUGAUUGGGUAAAGAGCUCUCGUCAUGCUAUACCAAAUCUUUCCAUUUGAAUGACACCCCUUAUAAUUCUUCUCUUUUGCCCAACUUAACCCCAUUAACCCCUUUUUUUAUUUAAUUCUUACUGAUUACAAUCAUUCGCGGCCGAAAGGCGGAAUGAGGUUUCUACGAAACCAUUAGCACAACUCUUAGCAGUGGAUAUCUUGGCUCCCGU